RNAcentral lists this ribosomal RNA (333 nucleotides) under uncultured bacterium. RNAcentral describes it as "partial 16S ribosomal RNA". It matches the Rfam family "Bacterial small subunit ribosomal RNA", at positions 338 to 682 of the family's 1533-position model. The record is from RNAcentral.
CCUACGGGAGGCAGCAGUCGAGAAUCAUUCACAAUGGGGGAAACCCUGAUGGGGCGACGCCGCGUGGGGGAAUGAAGGUCUUCGGAUUGUAAACCCCUGUCAUGUGGGAGCAAAUUAAAAAGAUAGUACCACAAGAGGAAGAGACGGCGAACUCUGGGCCAGCAGCCGCGGUAAUACAGAGGUCUCAAGCGUGGUUCGGAACCACUGGGCGUAACGGGUGCGUAGGCUGUUUCGUAAGUCGGGUGUGAAAGGCGCGGGCUCAACCCGCGGACUGCACAUGAUACUGCGAGACUAGAGUAAUGGAGGGGGAACCGUAAUUCUCGUUGUAGCCGU